Molecule: ribosomal RNA, 222 nt
Filed under: Flavonifractor plautii
Lineage: Bacteria; Bacillati; Bacillota; Clostridia; Eubacteriales; Oscillospiraceae
Description: partial 16S ribosomal RNA
Rfam family: Bacterial small subunit ribosomal RNA
Source: RNAcentral
UGAUGACCGCGUAGACUUACCAGGGCUUGACAUCCCACUAACGAAGCAGAGAUGCAUUAGGUGCCCUUCGGGGAAAGUGGAGACAGGUGGUGCAUGGUUGUCGUCAGCUCGUGUCGUGAGAUGUUGGGUUAAGUCCCGCAACGAGCGCAACCCUUAUUGUUAGUUGCUACGCAAGAGCACUCUAGCGAGACUGCCGUUGACAAAACGGAGGAAGCCCCCCGU